Impatiens glandulifera is the source of this 2946-nucleotide long non-coding RNA. RefSeq lists it as uncharacterized. NCBI's taxonomy places the organism in Eukaryota, Viridiplantae, Streptophyta, Magnoliopsida, Ericales, Balsaminaceae. The transcript has 3 exons. The record is from RefSeq and is a predicted model, not a curated record.
CAAUUGAUGCUUAAACAGUUGGUUCUGGCAUAUAUGCAUAGUAUUCCAAGUUUUGGCAGCAUCCCAAAUGCUUUGUCCAAUUUGCUUUCUAAUAUCAAGUUGAUAUUUGGGAAGUUUCAACUUCCAGAAAUCAUUUUGAUGAUACCAGUAACCCUGAAGACAAAUCUCUGUAGUUUUUGCUCCUGAAGGCUAACUUAGGCACUGACAAAUCUCAAUAUAUUGCCUAUAUUUCUCCAAUAUUGCCAGUGUCUUUAUUUGUCACAUGGGCAAUUCAUUUGUAUUGUUUCAAACUGGAUCAAAUUUUGACUAGUAGAAUGCUGUUUUCAUUGCAUGUUCAAGGAGUGUACACGUCCAAAUAAUAUCCAUGUGGACUAAAAGAUUACAUCUGAAAUGACCUUGCUGUUUAGUUGGACAUGAUAAAUUCUUAUCCAGUUCCUGUUCUAGCUUGUGUAUUUUGUCUUGCACAGAUGCAUAUUUGCAGAAGAGUGACCAUUCUUGUAGCACACUUAAAUUUAACAGGUGUAAGCUCAUAUUGCUAGCCUCAGACAACCAUUGGGGCCAACUGAUGGAUAGAAAUUAGAUCCUGCAGCUCAAACAUGUAUACAUACAACAGAUAUUUCUUUCUUUUUUCCUUGAAGAAAUGAAAAUACUAUUAACAACCAUAGUAAAAAUGAUGGUCGCAUUGCCUAUGAUUGGAAAAAACAAAACCAAGUACAAUCCUGGAAUACAAAUACGUUGUUGGUUCUCUUUCUGAUUUUGUCAUCUUCUUCUUUGAUCUAGUUUUCUCUUUUCUGUUAACAUCUUUAACCCGCUCCUUACCGAAAGGUGUGACGAAAAUUUGCUUCAAUUGGAUCCAACUCUUGCUCUGAAAUGACCAUCUCUUCUAUCUCAUUGACCUAACAUAGAUUCUUUAUGCUUUAUGAUAUGGGAAUGUAAUUAUAAAAUGAACUAUGCUUUUGAAUUUUAUUACCAUAUUAUAUUUAUCUGAGUAUCUGACCUAAUUUAUUACCUCCUAUACAACUCAACAUCUUCUCGUCCCUAUUCUCCUUUGUAUUCUCUUAAAAAGGUUAUCAAACACUUGUCUUGUGCCUAACAAGGAGAUAACGGCUAGCAAGACAUUGCUUCACAAAAAAAUUCAAGAGUUCGCGAGGAACAAGGUUAUGAGCUUGUACACAGCAGUAAAUCAAAAAAUUAUUAUUGGCAGUCUGUGUAGCAGUAUUUGUACUUUUGCAUAGGAGAGGAGCUCAUGGCUUCUUCUCAAGAGGAGUUCAUGACUUGAGAUUCUGUGUGUCCAAAAUCAUUCUUCUUGUUGGAUCCAAAAAUAUGAGUUAAGCUUUCAUCAAUAUUUUUCUUUUUUCAGUCCUGUAGCCAUGUGAAAUGAAGCAAGAAACAGUUCUCAGGUGCAGCACAUCAUAGUGAUCUGAUGUUCCUGAUAUGGAGGUGAUAGGGAUGGGAUAGAGUCUUCAAAUUCGGCCUUCACGACGGGGUCCUCCAUGUGCUGUUGGUAGUCAUCUCACCAUUGUUUUUCCUCUUGCAAGCUCAUUUUUCUUUUGUGUUUGCAGAAAAUACAGGUAGGUCUGUACUCUGGAUCACUCUAAUCUUUAGUCCCAGAAUUUUCAAUAUAAUUUUCAGAGUGGGUCCAAAAGAAAGAUUAGAUCCUCUUAACUUCAAUUACUCUUUGCGUCUAGAACAAAGUUUUUAUCCCCAUGUAGAAUGAGGAGGCUAGUACUAAAUCCCACCACCAUCAAAGUGUUUUCAGUGGGAAUCAGCCUCUUAGUUCAUGGGAAGAUCAAGACGACAUUCUUCAGCAGGCUCUCUUAUCACUUGAGCUAUAUGUUGGGUGGGUUUUCUGGUGAAGUGAGGGCAAAGGUAAUUAAUUUGCUUAAUCAUUGAAAUUUUUCUGGUGGGAAGUUAUUGUCAGUAAAAGUGGCGUUUGAAAGAUAUAUCUUCUCAAGGCAUCUCUUGACCAUUUUGAUGGAGGAUCUUGGGGAAGGGGGGCAAGAGUAACAUGGCUCUCAUGUGGCUGAAGAGAGACAAGGUCACCCAUCACUAUCCUCUUAUAUUUGUACAAUAUAUAGGCAGAGAGGUAUACAUGAGAGGCCCACCCAAUCGGGUCCACUUUCAUUUUGGUCUCAUACUAACCUCAAAUCCAUAUAGACUAAAAUUAAUUGGUUAGAGUCUGAAACCGAAGAGAUUCAGAUCUCAAAUUUGAUUUUCAUUGAACACAUUUUGAUUAAAGUAGGGAGUUGUGACAGUGGAAUGUUGUUUUACCCCAGUCUAAUCUAACUAACUUAAAAUUUUUGCAUGUUUUUGAGGAAAAAGGAGAUUUAAGUCAACAAAUAAAGGAACAUUUUUAACACUUGAAAUGAAACUAAAACAAUUAGUUACACAUUUCACACACAAAAAAGAUAUAUAUCUCUUUUCAACACUUUUAUUUUCAUUCCAUCUUGCAAAUGAACUCGUAACACUUGGACAUUUUGUCAAAUAGUUAGGAGCAUGAUUAUCAUUGAUCCUGGUAUAUAAUGCUGUGUGGAAUUGUGAGUAAUUUUGAUGGGCAUGAUGUAUGUGGUGGUGGUGGUGGUGUUGAAGAGAGAAACAGAGAUAGGAGUAAAAGAUCUUACCUGUAGUAGUAGUAGUAGAAGACAUUUGAGGUGAGAAAAUGGGUUGGUUUGUGAUAAUUGUGUGCCUUGGGAACAUGGAGAGGUUACAUAGCUAUCGUGGGGUGAUGGUGUUGUUGUUGUUGGUGUCGAAUGCGGUUAGUAGAGUCGUAUAGCCUAGUUGGAGUCUCUGUAUGUAUGUGUGUAUCAAUUAUCAUCAUGAUCAUGAAUUGGUCGGAUUCAUUCUUCUUAUUAUUAUUAUUCAGUGGUUGUGGUUAAAGAUUUGGAUUCUUGCUUGUCUCUUUAUGAUUGCAACUCUCUAUUCUCUCAAGUUGGAUGGAUGGCGAUG